UACGAAGGGGGCUAGCGUUGUUCGGAAUCACUGGGCGUAAAGGGCGCGUAGGCGGCUUGAUAAGUCGAGGGUGAAAGCCUGUGGCUCAACCACAGAAUUGCCUUCGAUACUGUCUGGCUUGAGACCGGAAGAGGUAAGUGGAACUGCGAGUGUAGAGGUGAAAUUCGUAGAUAUUCGCAAGAACACCAGUGGCGAAGGCGGCUUACUGGUCCGGUUCUGACGCUGAGGCGCGAAAGCGUGGGGAGCAAACAGG
Molecule: ribosomal RNA, 253 nt
Filed under: uncultured bacterium
Lineage: Bacteria
Description: partial 16S ribosomal RNA
Rfam family: Bacterial small subunit ribosomal RNA
Source: RNAcentral